Non-coding RNA from Pseudocercospora fijiensis CIRAD86, 147 nucleotides. The record is from the annotation of a RefSeq genome assembly. Lineage: Eukaryota; Fungi; Ascomycota; Dothideomycetes; Mycosphaerellales; Mycosphaerellaceae.
UCCCCCAUGGCGCAAUUGGCUAGCGCGUUCGACUGUUACUCGCUUUGAGAAAUGGUAUCGGGAGGUUGAUAGGUAAGCCUUACCACUCAAUACUCUAACUUAAGUCCUGCUAACGUCCGCCUUUCAGUUCGAGCCUAUCUGGGGGAG